AUGCAGGUUCUAUUUUAUUGUUCCGAGACAUAUGAUGAUAGCAUUGAGAAUGAGAAAUCUUUGCAAAAUGCACGUAUUAUUAAGGAGUUCUGGAACGAUUACUACGCUAAGCUGUUGGAUAUUGACAAAACGAAAAAGACUUCUAAUGUUGAUAUGUAUCAGGAUGAUGUUAGAAAGUUGUUGAUUAAUGAAAAGAAGAAUCAAAAUGGUGUGUUUUCCGAUACUGAAUUAAUAGAUUUACAGAAUCAAAUUGCAAAUUGCACAAUGAAGUUCGAUGAGGAUAAUCUAUUUAAAGUAACUCCUAACAUAGUAAAGUUCUUGAUUAAUAAAGAUCAGCCUAACGCUAAGCAAUAUCUAAAGGGUUGCCUACCAAGUAGCUUACCUAUGCUUAAGAUGUUUGGUAUCUAUACGCUUGAGGCUAUCAUGAUUCAUGUACUAGGCUUGGUAUUCAACACUCUUCAGGAAUCAUCCGCAGUUAAGGCAGCUAGAUUUAUAGAUCAACUUAAUUCAACUGUACGAGAACAAGCAAGGUUUCUACAAUACAAAGCACCAGGUAGUGGUAAGGUGGAAGCAGUACUCACUAGUAAGGUAGAAUCAGUUAAGGAUGUUGUUCAGCCCAAAGGUGCUAGCAAAAAAGAGAAAAAGAAAAAAAUGCAGUGUCAUUAUGAUAUCGGGAAAUACUUGCUCCAAUUCAUGAUUGAAAGAAAUGUUCUACAUAUAUCAACAGAUAGGGAAAACGGCAAGAAAGGAACCAUGUCCUUGCUUUCUUGCCCCCAAGGCAAAAGGAAAAAUACCACUCUACGCAACCUCGAUGCCACGUACACUACACCCAUCGAUUCCGACCCUUGGAAUACAUAUAUCUGCAUAUAG
This 870-nucleotide ribosomal RNA is filed under the name Triticum aestivum (bread wheat). RNAcentral's name for it is "partial small subunit ribosomal RNA". Lineage: Eukaryota; Viridiplantae; Streptophyta; Magnoliopsida; Poales; Poaceae. The record is from RNAcentral.